Molecule: ribosomal RNA, 253 nt
Filed under: uncultured bacterium
Lineage: Bacteria
Description: partial 16S ribosomal RNA
Rfam family: Bacterial small subunit ribosomal RNA
Source: RNAcentral
UACGGGGGGGGCAAGCGUUGUUCGGAAUUACUGGGCGUAAAGGGCUCGUAGGUGGCCAACUAAGUCAGACGUGAAAUCCCUCAGCUUAACUGGGGAACUGCGUCUGAUACUGGAUGGCUUGAGUUUGGGAGAGGGAUGUAGAAUUCCAGGUGUAGCGGUGAAAUGCGUAGAUAUCUGGAGGAAUACCGGUGGCGAAGGCGGCUUUCUGGACAGUAACUGACGCUGAGGCGCGAAAGCUAGGGGAGCAAACAGG